Molecule: unclassified non-coding RNA, 329 nt
Filed under: soil metagenome
Description: partial contains 5.8S ribosomal RNA, internal transcribed spacer 2, and large subunit ribosomal RNA
Rfam family: 5.8S ribosomal RNA (bases 1-120)
Source: RNAcentral
GAUGAAGAACGCAGCGAAAUGCGAUAAGUAAUGUGAAUUGCAGAAUUCAGUGAAUCAUCGAAUCUUUGAACGCACAUUGCGCCCCUUGGUAUUCCGAGGGGCAUGCCUGUUCGAGCGUCAUUAUAACCCCUCAAGCUCAGCUUGGUGUUGGGGCCUGCUGCACUGGCAGCCCUUAAAAUCAGUGGCGGCGCCAUCUGGCUCUAAGCGUAGUAAUUCUUCUCGCUAUGGAGUCCUGGUGGAUGCUUGCCAUCAACCCCCAAUUUUUCUAUGGUUGACCUCGGAUCAGGUAGGGAUACCCGCUGCACUUAAGCAUCUCAAUAAGCGGAGGA